Molecule: ribosomal RNA, 99 nt
Filed under: uncultured Acidimicrobiaceae bacterium
Lineage: Bacteria; Bacillati; Actinomycetota; Acidimicrobiia; Acidimicrobiales; Acidimicrobiaceae
Source: RNAcentral
CGGUGGGGUCACACCCGUUCCCAUUUCGAACACGGCAGUUAAGCCCACCUGCGCCGAUGGUACUUGGAGGUCCCCUCCUGGGAGAGUAGGUCGCCGCCG